UCUCCGUUGGUGAACCAGCGGAGGGAUCAUUAUCGAGUUUAUAACUCCCAAACCCUAUGUGAACUUACCACUUGUUGCUUCGGCGCGCGCUUCGGCGCCGCCGAGGACACUUAAACUCUUUGUUUUUAUAAGCAUUUCUGGGUGGCCGAAAGGCAAAAUACAAAUGAAUCAAAACUUUCAACAACGGAUCUCUUGGUUCUG
Molecule: unclassified non-coding RNA, 201 nt
Filed under: plant metagenome
Description: partial contains small subunit ribosomal RNA, internal transcribed spacer 1, and 5.8S ribosomal RNA
Source: RNAcentral